GCAGGCCCCGGGCCCUCUCAUUCCCAGCGCUGCCCUGUCUUGCGUUCCAGUGUUCCAGCUUCUGCGAGAUGACGCUCAAGGCGAGCGAGGGCGAGAGUGGGGGCAGCAUGCACACGGCGCUCUCCGACCUCUACCUGGAGCACUUGCUGCAGAAGCGUAGUCGGCCAGAGGAGCCAGUGGGGUGGGUCGCAGCCACAUUAAGAAUGCCCUGCUCAGCCAGAACCCGGAGAAGUUUGUGUACCCUGUCCCAUGUAAGUAGCUCUUAGGCACCUUGGAGGGGAGGUGACAGGCUGAAGGACGGGGCAUCAGUAGCACAUUUUAUCACAGUACCACUCGCCAUCUGAAAUACCAUAGUGUUAUUUUAUUUUUUUUUAAUUAUUUUAUUUUAAAUGAUUAUUAAAACUAAACAAAAUAUGGAAAGAUAAAAAUUUGUGCCCACAAUUCCUCCACCUAACAGAAUAACUGUUUUCUUAUUGUUAUUCGUGCUGUUUGUCUACAUAACAGAAGCUAUAGUAAACAUUUUUAUACUGCCUUAAAAAUUACUAAGUAUUAAAGUUUAUACAUAUAACUUUGUCAUUUUACUUUUUAAACAUUUUCUCAUGUUCCUCUGCAAUUUGCCUAAUUCUCUUUGAGAACGGUUUUAUAGUCCACCAAGUGGAUGUACUUGGUGGAUUUCCUUAGCUAUCCCACUCUUGAUGUUCAGGCUGCCUCUCAUUUUCAUGGAAUGUCUUCUAAAUCAAAGCAGUGCCUAGGAAAGGCCCAAACUAUCUCAACAGCAGUCCUAGAUAUGGAGAACAGUAGCGCCAGUGAUCAGGUGGAGAAUUUGAUAACUUCCAUUCCCAGAAGUGAUGCUGCAUGGUAUAGUUGUGUAUGUUCCCAGAAAGAAAUACAGUCAUUCCUCACUUAAUAUUGUCAGUAGGCUCUUCGAAGACUGUGACUUUAAGUGAAAUGACAUAUAACAAGAACCAGUUUUUUUACUCAUCAACAAUACAAUGAAAUGAAGUUGAACUAAACCAUGUUAGUCAAGGACCAGCUGCAUGUGAUU
Molecule: small RNA, 1045 nt
Filed under: Pongo abelii (Sumatran orangutan)
Lineage: Eukaryota; Metazoa; Chordata; Mammalia; Primates; Hominidae
Description: retained intron
Source: RNAcentral